Molecule: ribosomal RNA, 207 nt
Filed under: uncultured bacterium
Lineage: Bacteria
Description: partial 16S ribosomal RNA
Rfam family: Bacterial small subunit ribosomal RNA
Source: RNAcentral
CACGUAGGCGGUUUAGUAAGUCAGCCGUUUAAUCCCUCGGCUUAACUGAGGUUCUGCGGUUGAAACUAUUAGACUUGAGUACGGGAGAGGAGAGCGGAAUUCCAUGUGUAGCGGUGAAAUGCGCAGAUAUAUGGAGGAACACCCGUGGCGAAGGCGGCUCUCUGGACCGCUACUGACGCUGAGGUGCGAAAGCGUGGGGAGCAAACG